RNAcentral lists this ribosomal RNA (465 nucleotides) under uncultured bacterium. Its description in RNAcentral is "partial 16S ribosomal RNA". It matches the Rfam family "Bacterial small subunit ribosomal RNA", at positions 339 to 795 of the family's 1533-position model. The record is from RNAcentral.
CUACGGGAGGCAGCAGUGGGGAAUAUUGGACAAUGGGGGAAACCCUGAUCCAGCAAUGCCGCGUGUGUGAAGAAGGCCUGCGGGUUGUAAAGCACUUUCGGUUGGGAGGACUGCUUCUAGCACUAAUAUUGUUGGAAGUUGACGUUACCUUCAGAAGAAGCACCGGCUAACUCCGUGCCAGCAGCCGCGGUAAUACGGAGGGUGCACGCGUUAAUCGGAAUUACUGGGCGUAAAGCGCGCGUAGGCGGCUAGAUCAGUCGGGUGUGAAAGCCCCGGGCUUAACCUGGGAACUGCAUCCGAUACUGUCUAGCUUGAGUACAGGAGAGGAGUGUGGAAUUCCACAUGUAGCGGUGAAAUGCGUAGAUAUGUGGAGGAACACCAAUGGCGAAGGCAGCUCUCUGGCCUGAUACUGACGCUGAGGUGCGAAAGCGUGGGGAGCAAACAGGAUUAGAUACCCGUGUAGUC